CCGCCGCCCGCUCAGCGCGGCCCCGGUGGAAAGUCACAGCAGCGCGCCCGGAAGGACGGUCUGCAAGGUCUGCACGGUUUGCACGAGGAAGGUGGCUACCCCGGGCAGGCUCCGGCUCUGAGGGAUUUACAGCUAGCCUCGUAAACACCGCGCCCGAGCCCUCCAGGGACCCCAGAGGCACAAGCAGCUCGGGGCUUCCUGCGGGGGGCGCUGCGACCCAAAAUGCCCGGGUGCAAAACAAGUCCCAGUAGCAACUUCCGAUGCCGCCCUGGGACAGAAAGCUGCGGGUCUCACGGGCCCCGCUCGGGGCGCCCGGGUUCUCGUGCACUUUGCAGGGUGGGGGUGGAGCUGUGCUGAUUUUCACCGAGAGCACGCCACUUCCGGUGCCCCACGCAUUAUUUCGGCGCCAUAUUGUUUCCCAGACCGGCCUCCAGAUUUGGUUGAAUGAAGCUGGCAUAGACAGGAAAGUUAUGAGGUGUGGAGUUUCGCUCCCGUGUCCUGUGGUGACGUAAGCGUGGACCUCCGGCUCUGGGCAAGAGUGUCUCCAAGUUUUGCUGGCCUCAUCAGCAGCAUGGGGAAGAGGGGCUGCGCAGUUUGCAUCCCCACCGGCUGUGAGCGAGAGUUCCUGUUUCUCCACGUCGUCCCCAGCAGUUGGUGUUCUCAGUGCUUCCAGAUUCUGGCCGUUCUCACAGUGACAGACACACGACGGCCACCACCAGAACUGAGUAUGGGCCUCGUUCCUGAGUUCCUUAUUUCUGAAAUGAGGAUGAGAGCUUCCCGCAGGCAAAGCACGUCUGUCCUGUCUGCUACAGUGGGCUCAGUGGGGAGAAAGUUCUAUGAGAGCUGCUCCUUGACUUUACCUUUGGUCCACAAAGACCCCGUAGGAUUUUUACAUUUGUCUUAGGAAAGUCUGAACACGCCUGCCAGAUGGUUGACAGUGAGCCCCCACAAGACACAGAAUGGGGGCUUGGUGUGGUCCCGGUCCCUGCACGGGGCACACAAAAGUUGCCAAGUGGGUAUUGCAAGUUUUGAGGGACUUCAAAUAUCUCAGAGAAAAGAUGUGUAACUGCACAUAGUCACGAAGAUAAUGAGUUCAUGGCUUACUCACUUCUCUUCACCCGGAAAAAUAAUGUACGCUAAAUGCUGUGUUUUUAAUCUGGGCCAAUACUUGGCUGAAAGCUCUCUGGGUCUUAUCCUACUUGAUUCUACACACAGUCCUAAUAUAUAGGCUGUUACUGGCACCCUUGUUUUAGAGAGAGGGAUGCUUUCCACAGAAAGGGGAAGCUGCUGACAUCACGGACCUCACGAGGAAGGGAGCAGGGAUUCAAACCCAGGGAGACCGACUGAAUGCCGAUAUACUAACGACCAGACUAGACUUUGAGGGAUUUGCCCCCUUCCCCCCAGGGAGGGUGGUGUGGGUCUUGAGGACCUUUCAGGAUCGCACCCUACUCAUCCAGGAUUCUCCUCAAACAAUCCACAGGUUCCAAGCUCCCACUGGCAAAGCACCAGGAACGAGUUACAAAGUGUGCUGAACUACCCAUGGAGGGGCCACAUCUGAUCUUCAGAGCAAGCCUCUGCCCCUUCCUCCCACCGGGUUCCAAUAUCCAAGAGUCAGACCUUAUGUUUCCAGCCCCUGGUGCGUAGAGGUGCUUGAUUAAAUCUUUUGAUAAGAAUUAA
Long non-coding RNA from Felis catus (domestic cat), 1677 nucleotides. RefSeq lists it as uncharacterized. The transcript is spliced from 5 exons. The record is from RefSeq and is a predicted model, not a curated record. Lineage: Eukaryota; Metazoa; Chordata; Mammalia; Carnivora; Felidae.